Non-coding RNA from Ictidomys tridecemlineatus (thirteen-lined ground squirrel), 1822 nucleotides. The record is from RefSeq and is a predicted model, not a curated record. NCBI's taxonomy places the organism in Eukaryota, Metazoa, Chordata, Mammalia, Rodentia, Sciuridae.
UAGGGGCCCUGCUGGGUGUAAUGGCAAAUUAUAUCUCUAAAGGAGCUUCUACACUAGUGGAUAGAGACAGACAAUAAAAACACCGGUACCAAGUAAAUAAAGGAGAUAAAUUGGUCACAAAGGGCCCCCUGAAGAGUGAAUAUUUGAUCCAGUUUCCUAAGAAUGAGACCCAGGUGGCCACCCAUUGAGGUGGGAAAGGGCGGCACAGGCAGAGAGAACAGCAAAUCUAAAAGCCCUAAGGUAGGAUGACAUGGAUCUGUCUAAGGAACAGAAGAAAACAUGGUAAGUGUGAAGAAGCAGGGCGUGAGAUGAAGUCAGAGAGGCGGGGCUGUUGGCCAGGAUAAAGAGUGCGGGUUUUAUUUUAGUCUUGCUGAGGGAUUAAUUGUAGGCAAUGCAUAAAGAGAGAAAUCUGGAUGACUUCUGAAUUUUUAACUUGGAAGGUGGUGCCAUUUGCUGCCUGUGGAUGCCUAAGGGAAGAAGAGAUGUGGGACGAUGAAUGUGACAGUGUCAGAACGGUGACCCUAGAGCUCAAAGAAGCUGCCGAGUCUUUCAGCGUGUAGAUGAUAUGAAGCCAACACCUGGAUGAGAGCCUCAGAGGAACUUAGGACAUCAGAGAUCAUUCCACAGUAUGAGUCCCUUUUCCUCCCCGCUGUCCUCACAUACCUGGAAGCUGCUCUCCCAGAGACAAAGCUCUUGGAGGCCAGGGGAGAGAGCGUGAGACUCAUUAUCCUCGCCUACCCUUUGGGAGCUGAAACACCUCCCCUUCUCACUGAUAAAGCCCCAUAGAUGUCACCUUGGGUAAAAACAUAGUCACCUCACCUGCUUAAUCCUUAUUCAGACACACACCCACGAUCUCUUGUUACCUGUAAAGAGAUCAUUUUCUGUCUUGUUCUCUGACCCUCGCCUUAUUUCUUAACUCAAAAUAAUUCCAAUCCUGGCUGUUGCCUCAAGGAAAGGACACAGCUGGGAAUGAGACAAGACUCUAAGCCAGGAUUAACAAGACCCUAGGUAUUUGCAGGUGCCCAGCCUCCUUUUUAUGGAUUUCAAUUGCAUCUGUCUUCAGCCAGCCCUGCUGAAGGCUACUUUCCUGAGGAACCUCUUUCCCAGGCAACAGAACACUUCGCAAGUCAGUGUCAUUGUUAUUUCUGUUUUUAGCACUAUUGCUUUCUUCUUUCCCUUUAUAAACGUAUACUAUUUUCAGAUUCACAAUGUAUCCAAGGAGUUCUAGUGGUUUGAGCGGGAGAAUGACUUAUUGCUCAAAAUAAUCUGGCAGCAUAGAAUAGCCCCGGAACUUGCGAUUGAGACUCUCUUCCCUAUCCCGACUCUGCUAGGUGGCUGGGAGUGAAUGACUCAACUUCCCUGAACCUUUCUUCACCCACAAGGUGGAGAGCCUCACAAAAUUCACAGAAAGACUGAACAAAGCAAUGCAUGCUUAGCAUAGCACCUGCUACCUAGUAAAUGCUCAACAAAUAGUCAUCCAGUUGAUUCAACUCAGAGGGAAAAUAAACAAGAGACUUUGAAACACCACCCAUCUGCAACGUGGAAACUGCUUGGAACAAGGAAACAAACGACACCUCUGGUCUCAGUCCAGGGGCUUCUGCCUGCCACUUGCCUCAAUCCUUCAGCCUUGCUUCUGAAACUGCCUAGCUGUGUGAACGAUGACAGUUACUUAAUGUCUUACAAGAGCAUCAUGAAAACUCAAGAAGAUGCUUGGAAAAAACUUCAUGACAGGGGCUGGGGAUGUGGCUCAAGCGGUAGCGCGCUCGCCUGGCAUGCUUGCGGCCCAGGUUCAAUCCUCAACACCACAUACCAACAAAGAUGU